RNAcentral lists this ribosomal RNA (389 nucleotides) under Alosa pseudoharengus (alewife). Its description in RNAcentral is "partial small subunit ribosomal RNA". It matches the Rfam family "Bacterial small subunit ribosomal RNA", at positions 794 to 1384 of the family's 1533-position model. Lineage: Eukaryota; Metazoa; Chordata; Actinopteri; Clupeiformes; Clupeidae. The record is from RNAcentral.
GCCCCGCCGUAAACUUAGAUAUUCCAGUACAACAAAUAUCCGCCAGGGGACUACGAGCGCCAGCUUAAAACCCAAAGGACUUGGCGGUGCUUCAGACCCCCCUAGAGGAGCCUGUUCUAGAACCGAUAACCCCCGUUCAACCUCACUACUCCUUGCUUUUCCCGCCUAUAUACCACCGUCGCCAGCUUACCCUGUGAAGGUACUACAGUAAGCAGAAUGAGUAAUACUCAAAACGUCAGGUCGAGGUGUAGCGUACGAAGUAGGAAGAAAUGGGCUACAUUAUCUGAUCCAGAUUAUUCACGGAAGGUUGUCUGAAACGACAAUCCGAAGGUGGAUUUAGCAGUAAAGGGGGAAUAGAGUGCCCCCUUGAAGCCGGCUCUGAAGCGCGC